CCUGACUGCUAUCGGAUUGAUACUAAGCCAUGCGAGUCAUUGUAGUAAUACAAGGCAGACGGCUCAGUAACGCGUAGUCAACCUACCCUAUGGACGGGAAUAACCUCGGGAAACUGAGUAUAAUGCCCGAUAGAACACAAUGCCUGGAACGGUUUGUGUUCCAAAUGRUUUAUCGCCGUAGGAUGGGACUGCGGCCUAUCAGUUUGUUGGUGAGGUAAUGGCCCACCAAGACUAUUACAGGUACGGGCUCUGAGAGGAGUAGCCCGGAGAUGGGUACUGAGGCACGGACCCAGGCCCUAUGGGGCGCAGCAGGCGAGAGAACUUUGCAAUGUGCGAAAGCACGACAAGGUUAAUCCGAGUGGUUUCUGCUAAAGAAACCUUUUGACAGUCCUAAAAACACUGUUGAAUAAGGGGUGGGCAAGUUCUGGUGUCAGCCGCCGCGGUAAAACCAGCACCUCAAGUGGUCAGGAUGAUUAUUGGGCCUAAAGCAUCCGUAGCCGGCUCUGUUAGUUUUCGGUUAAAUCUGUACGCUCAACGUACAGGCUGCCGGAWAUACUGCAKRGCUAGGGAGUGGGAGAGGUAGACGGUACUCGGUASGAAGGGGUAAAAUCCUUUGAUCUAUCGAUGACCACCUGUGGCGAASGCGGUCUACCAGAACACGUSCGACGGYGAGGGAUGAAAGCUGGGGGAGCAAACCGGAUUAGAUACCCGGGUAGUCCCAGCUGUAAACUAUGCAAACUCAGYGAUGCGUUGGCUUGUGGCCAAUGCAGUGCUGCAUGSAAGMCGUUAAGUUUGCCGCCUGGGAAGUACGUACGCAMGUAUGARACUUAAAGGAAUUGGCGGRGGAGCACCACWAGGGGUGAAGCCUGCGGUUC
This 875-nucleotide ribosomal RNA is filed under the name uncultured archaeon. Its description in RNAcentral is "bacterial SSU rRNA". It matches the Rfam family "Archaeal small subunit ribosomal RNA", at positions 21 to 903 of the family's 1478-position model. The record is from RNAcentral.